GAUGAACGCCGGCGGCGUGCCUAAUACAUGCAAGUCGAGCGAACAGACGAGGAGCUUGCUCCUCUGACGUUAGCGGCGGACGGGUGAGUAACACGUGGAUAACCUACCUAUAAGACUGGGAUAACUUCGGGAAACCGGAGCUAAUACCGGAUAAUAUAUUGAACCGCAUGGUUCAAUAGUGAAAGACGGUUUUGCUGUCUCUUAUAGAUGGAUCCGCGCCGCAUUAGCUAGUUGGUAAGGUAACGGCUUACCAAGGCAACGAUGCGUAGCCGACCUGAGAGGGUGAUCGGCCACACUGGAACUGAGACACGGUCCAGACUCCUAAGGGAGGCAGCAGUAGGGAAUCUGCCGCAAUGGGCGAAAGCCUGACGGAGCAACGCCGCGUGAGUGAUGAAGGUCUUCGGAUCGUAAAACUCUGUUAUUAGGGAAGAACAAAUGUGUAAGUAACUAUGCACGUCUUGACGGUACCUAAUCAGAAAGCCACGGCUAACUACGUG
Molecule: ribosomal RNA, 497 nt
Filed under: uncultured bacterium
Lineage: Bacteria
Description: partial 16S ribosomal RNA
Rfam family: Bacterial small subunit ribosomal RNA
Source: RNAcentral